This 270-nucleotide ribosomal RNA is filed under the name Enterococcus faecalis. Its description in RNAcentral is "partial 16S ribosomal RNA". It matches the Rfam family "Bacterial small subunit ribosomal RNA", at positions 438 to 700 of the family's 1533-position model. The record is from RNAcentral. Lineage: Bacteria; Bacillati; Bacillota; Bacilli; Lactobacillales; Enterococcaceae.
GUUAGAGAAGAACAAGGACGUUAGUAACUGAACGUCCCCUGACGGUAUCUAACCAGAAAGCCACGGCUAACUACGUGCCAGCAGCCGCGGUAAUACGUAGGUGGCAAGCGUUGUCCGGAUUUAUUGGGCGUAAAGCGAGCGCAGGCGGUUUCUUAAGUUUGAUGUGAAAGCCCCCCGCUCAACCGGGGAGGGUCAUUGGAAACUGGGAGACUUGAGUGCAGAAGAGGAGAGUGGAAUUCCAUGUGUAGCGGUGAAAUGCGUAGAUAUAUG